AUGGCUCAGGAUGAACGCUGGCGGCGUGCCUAACACAUGCAAGUCGAGCGAUCUCUUCGGGAAGAGAGCGGCGGACGGGUGAGUAACGCGUGGGUAACCUGCCCUGUACACACGGAUAACAUACCGAAAGGUAUGCUAAUACGAGAUAAUAUGCUUUUAUCGCAUGGUAGAAGUAUCAAAGCUCCGGCGGUACAGGAUGGACCCGCGUCUGAUUAGCUAGUUGGUAAGGUAACGGCUUUACCAAGGCGACGAUCAGUAGCCGACCUGAGAGGGUGAUCGGCCACAUUGGAACUGAGACACGGUCCAAACUCCUACGGGAGGCAGCAGUGGGGAAUAUUGCACAAUGGGCGAAAGCCUGAUGCAGCAACGCCGCGUGAGCGAUGAAGGCCUUCGGGUCGUAAAGCUCUGUCCUCAAGGAAGAUAAUGACGGUACUUGAGGAGGAAGCCCCGGCUAACUACGUG
RNAcentral lists this ribosomal RNA (462 nucleotides) under uncultured bacterium. RNAcentral's name for it is "bacterial SSU rRNA". It matches the Rfam family "Bacterial small subunit ribosomal RNA", at positions 19 to 507 of the family's 1533-position model. The record is from RNAcentral.